GACGAACGCUGGCGGCGUGCUUAACACAUGCAAGUCGAACGGAAAGGCCCUGCUUUUGUGGGGUGCUCGAGUGGCGAACGGGUGAGUAACACGUGAGUAACCUGCCCUUGACUUUGGGAUAACUUCAGGAAACUGGGGCUAAUACCGGAUAGGAGCUCCUGCUGCAUGGUGGGGGUUGGAAAGUUUCGGCGGUUGGGGAUGGACUCGCGGCUUAUCAGCUUGUUGGUGGGGUAGUGGCUUACCAAGGCUCUGACGGGUAGCCGGCCUGAGAGGGUGACCGGCCUCAAUGGGACUAAGAUACGGCCCAGAGUGCUGCGGGAGGCAGCAUUGGGGAAUAUUGCACAAUAGGCGGAAGCCUGAUGCAACAACGUCGCGUGCGGGAUGACGGCCUUCGGGUUGUAAACCGCUUUCGCCUGUGACGUUGCCUGAGUGACGGUAAUGGAUAAGGAAGCACCGGCUAACUACGUG
RNAcentral lists this ribosomal RNA (468 nucleotides) under uncultured bacterium. RNAcentral describes it as "partial 16S ribosomal RNA". It matches the Rfam family "Bacterial small subunit ribosomal RNA", at positions 28 to 507 of the family's 1533-position model. The record is from RNAcentral.